AUUGAACGCUGGCGGCAUGCCUUACACAUGCAGGUCGAACGGCAGCACGGGAGCAAUCCUGGUGGCGAGUGGCGAACGGGUGAGUAAUAUAUCGGAACGUGCCCAGUCGUGGGGGAUAACGUAGCGAAAGCUACGCUAAUACCGCAUACGAUCUAUGGAUGAAAGCGGGGGAUCGCAAGACCUCGCGCGAUUGGAGCGGCCGAUAUCAGAUUAGGUAGUUGGUGAGGUAAAGGCUCACCAAGCCGACGAUCUGUAGCUGGUCUGAGAGGACGACCAGGCCACACUGGGACUGAGACACGGCCCAGACUCCUACGGGAGGCAGCAGUGGGGAAUUUUGGACAAUGGGCGCAAGCCUGAUCCAGCAAUGCCGCGUGCAGGAUGAAGGCCUUCGGGUUGUAAACUGCUUUUGUACGGAACGAAACGGUGAGCUCUAAUACAGUUUGCUAAUGACGGUACCGUAAGAAUAAGCACCGGCUAACUACGUG
RNAcentral lists this ribosomal RNA (485 nucleotides) under uncultured bacterium. RNAcentral describes it as "bacterial SSU rRNA". It matches the Rfam family "Bacterial small subunit ribosomal RNA", at positions 30 to 507 of the family's 1533-position model. The record is from RNAcentral.